GAUGAACGCUAGCGGCAGGCCUAACACAUGCAAGUCGAGGGAGGAGCUUUCGGGCUUCGACCGGCGUACGGGUGCGUAACGCGUAUACAAUCUGCCUUUCACAUAGGGAUAGCCCGAAGAAAUUUGGAUUAAUACCUAAUGGUAUAUAGAGGUGGCAUCACCUUUAUAUUAAAGCUGAGGCGGUGAAAGAUGAGUAUGCGUUCUAUUAGCUAGUUGGAGAGGUAACGGCUCCCCAAGGCGACGAUAGAUAGGGGUUCUGAGAGGGAUAUCCCCCACACUGGUACUGAGAUACAGACCAGACUCCUACGCGAGGCAGCAGUGAGGAAUAUUGGACGAUGGUCGGAAGACUGAUCCAGCCAUGCCGCGUGCAGGAAGACGGCCUUAGGGGUUGUAAACUGCUUUUGCAGAGGAAGAAUAAGGACUACGCGUAGUUUGAUGACGGUACUCUGCGAAUAAGCAUCGGCUAACUCCGUG
This 474-nucleotide ribosomal RNA is filed under the name uncultured bacterium. RNAcentral's name for it is "partial 16S ribosomal RNA". It matches the Rfam family "Bacterial small subunit ribosomal RNA", at positions 28 to 507 of the family's 1533-position model. The record is from RNAcentral.